GCCAGACUCCUACGGGAGGCAGCAGUGGGGAAUAUUGCACAAUGGGCGAAAGCCUGAUGCAGCGACGCCGCGUGAGUGAAGAAGUAUUUCGGUAUGUAAAGCUCUCUCAGCAGGGAAGAAAAUGACGGUACCUGACUAAGAAGCCCCGGCUAACUACGUGCCAGCAGCCGCGGUAAUACGUAGGGGGCAAGCGUUAUCCGGAAUUACUGGGUGUAAAGGGAGCGCAGACGGUGAAGUAAGUCUGGAGUGAAAGGCGGGGGCCCAACCCCCGGACUGCUCUGGAAACUAUUUGACUGGAGUGCAGGAGAGGUAAGCGGAAUUCCUAGUGUAGCGGUGAAAUGCGUAGAUAUUAGGAGGAACACCAGUGGCGAAGGCGGCUUACUGGACUGUAACUGACGUUGAGGCUCGAAAGCGUGGGGAGCAAACAGGAUUAGAUACCCUGGUAUC
Molecule: ribosomal RNA, 447 nt
Filed under: uncultured bacterium
Lineage: Bacteria
Description: bacterial SSU rRNA
Rfam family: Bacterial small subunit ribosomal RNA
Source: RNAcentral